UUUUCACCUUUUCUAUCACUGAUCUGUUUACAUAAUCCUCAAUAAUUAGCAACAUUAAUGAUUUAUUGAGAAGGGUAAUUAAAGACAACAAUUUCCAUAAGUAUAAAAUAUAAAUGUUGUUCAUGUAGAGUGUCAACUAAAAUGUCAGAGAAUUGGAUCAAUAAAAUUUUGAAGUGUUUAUGAGCUUAAAUUUUCAAUGAAAGUGGAAGAUUCCAUCAGCUUCCGUUUAGAAAUAUUUGAAAGAAUUUUGCAUCUUGGUAGGUAAGGGCUUUGAAUAAGCCUGAACUAAUAAAUGCGAGCUCUUAUGGGUUUUAGUUAACUCUCAAUCUUCGUGCAAGACUUACAAGUUGGUGUUUCGUUUUUUGAUUUUUCUACGAGUGCAUCAUUUUACUCGAUAAAGUUUAUUUAAUAUACUUAUUUAUUAUUAAUUUUGUAUCGAUAAUAUAAAAUUUUAUAUUUUUUUAUGUGAUAUUAUACUAUUUCUGACGCAAUAUAAUAAUUUUUAAUAUAAAAUUAUUAAUAAAUAAACAUAUUAAUUUAAUAAAUAUAAUGUUGUAUUCAUUAGAAAAAAUCGAUUUCUUUAUUAAGUUUUACAUCUUUAAGAGAUUUCUUUUCCUUUACGAUGAGGAUACAUAUAUAAUAUACAAAGAUCUAUAAAGAGAGAGAGAGAGCGAGAGAGA
RNAcentral lists this unclassified non-coding RNA (680 nucleotides) under Hevea brasiliensis (rubber tree). Lineage: Eukaryota; Viridiplantae; Streptophyta; Magnoliopsida; Malpighiales; Euphorbiaceae. The record is from RNAcentral.